CGGCGUGCUUAACACAUGCAAGUCGAACGCGAAAGGGAUUUCGGUCCCGAGUAGAGUGGCGCACGGGUGAGUAACGCGUAAGUAAUCUACCCCUGUAUUUGGAAUAACCCACCGAAAGGUGAGCUAAUACCGGAUACGUUUGAGAUGAUGCGAAUCAAUUCACAGAAAGGAGGCCUCUGCAUAUGCUUCCGUACAGGGAUGAGCUUGCGUACCAUUAGCUAGUUGGCAGGGUAAUGGCCUACCAAGGCGACGAUGGUUAGCGGGUCUGAGAGGAUGAUCCGCCACACUGGAACUGGAACACGGACCAGACUCCUACGGGAGGCAGCAGUGAGGAAUAUUGCGCAAUGGGGGAAACCCUGACGCAGCGACGCCGCGUGGAUGAUGAAGACCCUUGGGUCGUAAAAUCCUGUCAGAUGGAAAGAAGUGCAUAAUGGUUAAUACCCAUUGUGUUUGACGGUACCAUCAAAGGAAGCACCGGCUAACUCCGUGCCAGCAGCCGCGGUAAUACGGAGGGUGCAAGCGUUGUUCGGAAUUACUGGGCGUAGAGCGCGCGUAGGCGGUUUACUAAGUCAGAUGUGAAAGUCCACGGCUCAACCGUGGAAGUGCAUUUGAAACUGGCAGACUUGAGUAUUGGAGGGGGUGGUGGAAUUCCCGGUGUAGAGGUGAAAUUCGUAGAUAUCGGGAGGAAUACCGGUGGCGAAGGCGACCACCUGGCCAAUUACUGACGAGUGAGGUGCGAAAGCGUGGGGAGCAAACAGGAUUAGAUACCAUGGUAGUCCACGCUGUAAACGAUGAGAACUAGGUGUUGGGAUGGUUAAUCGUCUCAUUGCCGCAGCUAACGCA
Molecule: ribosomal RNA, 843 nt
Filed under: uncultured bacterium
Lineage: Bacteria
Description: bacterial SSU rRNA
Rfam family: Bacterial small subunit ribosomal RNA
Source: RNAcentral